GUGAGGAAUAUUGCGCAAUGGGCGAAAGCCUGACGCAGCGACGCCGCGUGGAGGAUGAAGGUCUUCGGAUUGUAAACUUCUGUUAAGUGGGAAGAAAGGGCUGCUUUUAAUAGAAGCAGUUAAUGACGGUACCAUUAAAGAAAGCACCGGCUAAACUCGUGCCAGCAGCCGCGGUAAUACGAGUGGUGCAAGCGUUAUUCGGAAUAAUUGGGCGUACAGGGUGUGUAGGCGGUAUGUUAAGUCUGUUGUUAAAGACUCCGGCCUAACCGGAGACAGGCAGCGGAAACUGGCGUACUAGAGGGUGGAAGAGAGAAGUGGAAUUCUCGGUGUAGCGGUAAAAUGCGUAGAUAUCGAGAGGAACACCGAUGGCGAAGGCAGCUUCUUGGUCCAUACCUGACGCUGAAACACGAAAGCGUGGGGAGCAAACAGGAUUAGAUACCCGUGUAGUCC
RNAcentral lists this ribosomal RNA (450 nucleotides) under uncultured bacterium. RNAcentral describes it as "partial 16S ribosomal RNA". It matches the Rfam family "Bacterial small subunit ribosomal RNA", at positions 354 to 796 of the family's 1533-position model. The record is from RNAcentral.